RNAcentral lists this ribosomal RNA (247 nucleotides) under uncultured bacterium. RNAcentral describes it as "partial 16S ribosomal RNA". It matches the Rfam family "Bacterial small subunit ribosomal RNA", at positions 523 to 769 of the family's 1533-position model. The record is from RNAcentral.
AUACGGAGGAUCCGAGCGUUAUCCGGAUUUAUUGGGUUUAAAGGGUGGGUAGGCGGAAAAAUAAGUCAGUUGUGAAAGUUUACGGCUCAACCGUGAAAUUGCAGUUGAUACUGUAUGUCUUGAGUGUACAAGAGGUGGGCGGAAUUCGUGGUGUAGCGGUGAAAUGCUUAGAUAUCACGAAGAACUCCGAUUGCGAAGGCAGCUUACUAAGCUGUAACUGACAUUGAGGCUCGAAAGUGUGGGUAUC